CGGGAGGGACGGGCCCGCAAAGUCACCCGCGGCCGCGGCGCGGGAGCGCCUGGGUCGCUCGGCCUGGGCCCCGAGCUUUCGCGUGCCCGGCGGCCUUCUGGAGCCAUGCACCCUUCCCCGCCCGAGACGCGGGGCUGUCGCGUGGGACAUGCUGCGUGCUGCCCCGGGGUUUAGCAUGCCGCGGGCGGUGCGCAGGUGACAGGGCCUGCCGAGCUCCUGGAGCGGAGCCCCCGAUCGUGGCAGAGCCCAGUUUUGAUUGCUCUUUCACCCCCUUUCAGUUUUUGUCGUCUAUAGACAAGCUGUGGACACUUAACGUAGUAAAAGUCCAGGAGGUUAAGCGGGGAGGGGGCAUGCGGUUCGUUGGAAUGAUUUAAGUAAACGUGGUUCCUGCUGAUAAUUACCUGGGCUGGAUACUUGGAUAUCUAGGUUGGAUACUGCGUGCAAGUUCCGAAGAAUGGGUUUUAUACAUCUCUGGGUCUUUGCUUGUUUUAAAAAAAACGGUGGUAGAAGGUUGGUGAGAGGGUGAGGGCAAGCAGUUUUGGUAAUGGUGAUGCUGUGGAUGCUAUACAAUCAAAUCCCCAAGCUAGAUUUCUCCUGUGCAAUAUAAGACCCGUGCUGGAACACCUUGACUGUUUCCUAGGCUUGGAAUGUAAAGGGGAAAGAUCUAGCACUCUGCCUCCUGAAGGUCAGAUCUCCCGUCGGUUAGGUUGGAUUGACCCAUUCGUAAACGGUCUCAGGAUCUUUGUGCCCUUUCUUUGUGACAAAAACUGUUUCCGGAAUUGUGCCUUUGCAUAUCUGUAGUAAGCAUCGAGUACUCUUGCUGCUCUGUACAGUCUGACUUUGUCGUUGAACCUUCCAUGAUUACAUUCUACUGUAAUGAAAUUUGCCCGGUUGAAAUUUGAGACCUCUCAACCAUAAAGGUAGGUGUUUUCCAGUUCCUUCCAGCAGUUCCUCUUGGGCACAUUGUGUUAUCUCUGAAUAGCUGUGAAUAGUGUCCCAUCUUCUGGGUAAAAGGAAGACUGCCUCACACAGUCUACAGGCACAUGAGCAGGGGCAUAUGAACUCUCUUGAAAAGAGCUAAUGAUUUUUUGUUUAGCUCAACCUAGUCAUUUGCUGGGGAGAGUUCAAAGGCAGCAUUGUCCCUUAACACUUCUGUGAUGUUGGAAAUGUCCUAUAUUACACAGUAGCUACUAACUACGUGUGACUAUUGAGCGCUUGAAAUGUGGCUUGUGUGACUGAGGAACUGAUUUUUAAUUUGUUUAAAUAGCCACAUGUGGCUAGUGCCUACCAUAUUGGACAGUGCAGUAAGACCCUAGAAUAACGCUGGAAUGACAUAAGGUUAGGUGAAAAAAGCAGAAUACAAAAGUAUAUAUUAUUAUUUAACAAAUUGACAUGAUAAAAAAUUUUAAGUUCUAUACAAAGGAAAAAACACUGAUAAUAACCACACCAAAAUACUAGCAGUGAAUUAUAUUAGGAUGGAGAAAUUAUGUGUGGGUGUCCUUCUCUCUUCAUGUUUAAAAAAAUACUUUAAAAACUUUUAUAAUACAAGUGUAUAUGAUAAACUCGAGCACGGAAGUGCUCUGAGACUAAAAGAAUGCUUCAGGAAGAGAAUACAUUGGUUGAACAGAGCCACCUAGAUUUUUCUCCACAAGAUUCACAUUUUGUAUUUUGCCCAGAGGAGCCUGGUUUCUAACGGUUUACUGUCUGGUGCUCUUUAUGAUCAGUUGUACUGUCAACAAAAGUAAAUUGAGAAAACAUUCCACAAAUAAUACAUAUGUACUGUGUUGGAAAGAGGUUAUGCUUUUAGGAAUAACUUUUAUGUGUUUUUGGCAGACCUAAAAAUAUACACAGUAUAUUACAAAAAACAGAAGAGAAACGCCUUACUAUUUAAAUUAAGUUGGCUACACGUCUGCUCUGCUUGAGCACUGAAGAGACUGAGCUGUAGAGUGUGUCUCCUCUAGCUCCUGGGAAGCUCUGCUCAUGCACCCUAAG
Molecule: long non-coding RNA, 1992 nt
Organism: Equus asinus (donkey)
Lineage: Eukaryota; Metazoa; Chordata; Mammalia; Perissodactyla; Equidae
Source: Ensembl